This 492-nucleotide ribosomal RNA is filed under the name uncultured Gammaproteobacteria bacterium. RNAcentral describes it as "bacterial SSU rRNA". It matches the Rfam family "Bacterial small subunit ribosomal RNA", at positions 49 to 535 of the family's 1533-position model. The record is from RNAcentral. Lineage: Bacteria; Pseudomonadati; Pseudomonadota; Gammaproteobacteria.
UAACACAUGCAAGUCGAACGAUGAAGUCUAGCUUGCUAGACGGAUUAGUGGCGGACGGGUGAGUAAUGUAUAGGGAUCUGCCUAGUAGUGGGGGACAACAGCCGGAAACGGCUGCUAAUACCGCAUACGCUCUACGGAGGAAAGCGGGGGCUCUUCGGACCUCGUGCUAUUAGAUGAACCUAUAUCAGAUUAGCUAGUUGGUGGGGUAACGGCCUACCAAGACUGCGAUCUAUAGCUGGUUUGAGAGGAUGAUCAGCCACAUUGGGACUGAGACACGGCCCAGACUCCUACGGGAGGCAGCAGUGGGGAAUAUUGGACAAUGGGCGCAAGCCUGAUCCAGCAAUACCGCGUGUGUGAAGAAGGCCUUCGGGUUGUAAAGCACUUUUAUGUAGGAAGAAGGUAUGUACGUUAAUAGCGUGCUUGCUUGACGGUACUACAAGAAUAUGCACCGGCUAACUCCGUGCCAGCAGCCGCGGUAAUAAGGGCGAAUUC